AUGCUUACCUGGCAGGUCAGAUACUGUGAUAACGAAGGUGGUUUUCCUAGGGCGAGGCUUAUUCAUUGCACUCUGGAUGUGCUGACACCUGUGAUUUCUCCAAAUGCAGGAAACUUGACUGCAUAAUUUGUGCUAGAGAGGGCACAUCCUCCCUCU
Myodes glareolus (Bank vole) is the source of this 156-nucleotide small nuclear RNA. RefSeq annotates it as U1 spliceosomal RNA. NCBI's taxonomy places the organism in Eukaryota, Metazoa, Chordata, Mammalia, Rodentia, Cricetidae. The record is from RefSeq and is a predicted model, not a curated record.